AAACAGUGGAGUUCAGAUACCACUAUAAAAACGAGGAGUAUUUCGAAAAGCCCAAGAGUAGAAAAAAC
This is a regulatory RNA element of Salegentibacter echinorum, 68 nucleotides long. It matches the Rfam family "DUF805 RNA". Lineage: Bacteria; Pseudomonadati; Bacteroidota; Flavobacteriia; Flavobacteriales; Flavobacteriaceae. The record is from Rfam.